RNAcentral lists this ribosomal RNA (400 nucleotides) under uncultured bacterium. Its description in RNAcentral is "bacterial SSU rRNA". It matches the Rfam family "Bacterial small subunit ribosomal RNA", at positions 355 to 772 of the family's 1533-position model. The record is from RNAcentral.
UGGGGAAUAUUGGACAAUGGGGGCAACCCUGAUCCAGCAAUGCCGCGUGAAUGAAGAAGGCCUUCGGGUUGUAAAGUUCUUUUAUUAGAGAAGAUAAUGACGGUAUCUAAUGAAUAAGCACCGGCUAACUUCGUGCCAGCAGCCGCGGUAAUACGAAGGGUGCUAGCGUUGUUCGGAAUUACUGGGCGUAAAGGGCGCGUAGGCGGUUAUAUAAGUCAGAUGUGAAAGCCCCGAGCUUAACUUGGGAACUGCAUUUGAUACUGUAUAGCUUGAGUGCGAGAGGGGAAGAUGGAAUUGUGCGUGUAGAGGUGAAAUUCGUAGAUAUGCACAGGAACACCGGUGGCGAAGGCGAUCUUCUGGCUCGUAACUGACGCUAAUGCGCGAAAGCGUGGGGAGCAAA